GGAGCAUGUGGUUUAGUUCGAAGAUACGCGAAGAACUUUACCUAGCCUUGACAUUGAUUGAACACUUUAGAGAUAGAGUGGUGCCCUUCGGGGAACAUGAAAACAGGUGCUGCACGGCUGUCGUCAGCUCGUGUCGUGAGAUGUUGGGUUAAGUCCCGCAACGAGCGCAACCCUCGUCCUUAGUUGCCAGCAGGUUAAGCUGGGCACUCUAAGGAGACUGCCUUCGCAAGGAGGAGGAAGGUGAGGACGACGUCAAGUCAUCAUGGCCCUUAUGGCUAGGGCUACACACGUGCUACAAUGGGGCGUACAGAGAGUUGCGAUACCGCGAGGUGGAGCCAAUCUCAUAAAGCGUCUCUCAGUUCGGAUAGAAGUCUGCAACUCGACUUCUUGAAGCUGGAAUCACUAGUAAUCGUAGAUCAGCAAUGCUACGGUGAGUACGUUCCCGGGUCUUGUACUCACCGCCCGUCACACCAUGGGAGUUGAUUUCACCCGAAAUUGGGAAGCUAACCUUCGGGGGGCUACCACUUACGGUGGAAUUAGCGACUGGGGUGAAGUCGUAACAAGGUA
RNAcentral lists this ribosomal RNA (567 nucleotides) under uncultured bacterium. RNAcentral's name for it is "bacterial SSU rRNA". It matches the Rfam family "Bacterial small subunit ribosomal RNA", at positions 934 to 1498 of the family's 1533-position model. The record is from RNAcentral.